ACCCAGACUCCUACGGGAGGCAGCAGUGGGGAAUAUUGCACAAUGGGGGAAACCCUGAUGCAGCAACGCCGCGUGAGUGAAGAAGUAUUUCGGUAUGUAAAGCUCUAUCAGCAGGGAAGAAGAUGACGGUACCUGAGUAAGAAGCCCCGGCUAACUACGUGCCAGCAGCCGCGGUAAUACGUAGGGGGCAAGCGUUAUCCGGAUUUACUGGGUGUAAAGGGAGCGUAGACGGUGAGACAAGUCUGAAGUGAAAGCCCGGGGCUCAACCCCGGGACUGCUUUGGAAACUGCCUGACUGGAGUGCUGGAGAGGCAAGCGGAAUUCCUAGUGUAGCGGUGAAAUGCGUAGAUAUUAGGAGGAACACCGGCGGCGAAGGCGGCCUGCUGGACCGUAACUGACGUUGAGGCUCGAAAGCGUGGGGAGCAAACAGGAUUAGAUACCCCCGUA
Molecule: ribosomal RNA, 446 nt
Filed under: uncultured bacterium
Lineage: Bacteria
Description: partial 16S ribosomal RNA
Rfam family: Bacterial small subunit ribosomal RNA
Source: RNAcentral